RNAcentral lists this transfer RNA (72 nucleotides) under Felis catus (domestic cat). It matches the Rfam family "tRNA". Rfam says of the family: Transfer RNA (tRNA) molecules are approximately 80 nucleotides in length. Lineage: Eukaryota; Metazoa; Chordata; Mammalia; Carnivora; Felidae. The record is from Rfam by way of RNAcentral.
GCCUGACUAGCCAGAUGGUAGAGCAUGUGACUCUUGAUCUCAGGGUCAUGCGUUCAAGCCUCAUGUUGGGCU